This 253-nucleotide ribosomal RNA is filed under the name uncultured bacterium. RNAcentral describes it as "partial 16S ribosomal RNA". It matches the Rfam family "Bacterial small subunit ribosomal RNA", at positions 524 to 776 of the family's 1533-position model. The record is from RNAcentral.
UACGUAGGGGGCGAGCGUUGUCCGGAAUCAUUGGGCGUAAAGCGCGUGUAGGCGGCUCGGCAAGUCUGGUGUGAAAACUGGAGGCUCAACCUCCAGCUGUCGCUGGAUACUGCCGGGCUUGAGUCCGGAAGAGGAGAGUGGAAUUCCUGGUGUAGCGGUGGAAUGCGCAGAUAUCAGGAGGAACACCAAUGGCGAAGGCAGCUCUCUGGUACGUGACUGACGCUGAGACGCGAAAGCGUGGGGAGCGAACAGG